This is a long non-coding RNA of Stegodyphus dumicola, 1192 nucleotides long. Lineage: Eukaryota; Metazoa; Arthropoda; Arachnida; Araneae; Eresidae. The record is from RefSeq and is a predicted model, not a curated record.
UCGAAUUUUGUUUUUUAAAUAAUUAUCCUUUUAAACUAAAAAGACAAAUAAUAUUAUGUCAAUAUAAAAACUAAGUAAAGCUAAGUCAUGUCUGUGAUCAUUCCUACUUUGUAAAUGAUUCACAAAAGAAGACCUUAGUUCUUUUCUAACAGAUUUUUGUAAUAUAAUCCAGCAUGAAGAAGAACAUCAAAGGGUCCAGUCUAUACCGAUAUUGCCGGACUAUCGUUGAAGACUCGCGUUGUUUCCGGCUCCUGACACAUAUGCCCGAAGGGCGCCUGACAUGGAAGAGAGAAAAGAGAGGUCUAAGAUGGUAAGAGAAGGGGGUGACCACUUGUCAGAAGGCAGAAAAACCAAAUCCAAGCUAAAGCUGCAGACCAGGAGAGGCAAGUGUCGGUGUGAAGCACUUCAUGACUUCUUGUGAGGGUUGCCGCAAUUAUUUUUCGCAGCACUGGCGUCAACAAUAGUUUGCGAUUUUUUACGGCCCUCAAAACCGAAUAGUACCGUUAUUUAUGUUCCCGUUAUGUCAUUUGGACAAGUCCUUCUUCCAAAGCUCCAGAUGUGGGGUAAAAAGAAAAACUCGAGGAAUUCAAAUUUCAGCGCUGCUUUUCUUCAACGACUGUCCUUCAACGAUGACAUCUGCUCUCUCCGGAUCCAGUUUACUGCGUGCUUAUAUGUAUGAAAUCGAAGGAGGUAAAGUCACGCUUUAGCCAGAUCAUUAUCUUUCAGAGUUUUCAAGCAAAGAAUAUGUCUUUAUAAUCAGAAAACAUGCCAGAAAAAGAUAAUAACUGAACAUAGAGGACGUGCUUUCCGGAAGACAGCACUAGUGUGACAAGGUCACUCAGGUGUUCCUUAUCUGGCCCUCCAAGGAAAUAGUUCCCAGACAAAAAGACUCUUGCCAAAGAACGUCCAAGAUUUUCCUCUUCCAGGAUUUAUCGUCUGCAAGUUCAAGGAACCGGCUUUCCCCAACUAGAAGACCGUAUGGUCACUGAGAAUACUGGAGGUGUAGCAUCGCUCUGCUUGGAGUAUUUUGUUGUGCUAAGAGAUUUAGCACAGACUAAUCUUUCCGAGUCUGCUGUUGUUUUAGCAUAGAACAUUUGUAACCGCUUACUAUUAGAUGAAUUGUUAUGCGCGUACCAGAUUGAUGUAAGCUUCUUAGAUUUAUGUUUUUAUUAAAAUUCUGGUUAUUGUUUUA